Molecule: ribosomal RNA, 1251 nt
Filed under: Acinetobacter variabilis
Lineage: Bacteria; Pseudomonadati; Pseudomonadota; Gammaproteobacteria; Moraxellales; Moraxellaceae
Description: bacterial SSU rRNA
Rfam family: Bacterial small subunit ribosomal RNA
Source: RNAcentral
GGCGGACGGGUGAGUAAUGCUUAGGAAUCUGCCUAUUAGUGGGGGACAACGUUCCGAAAGGGACGCUAAUACCGCAUACGUCCUACGGGAGAAAGCAGGGGAUCUUCGGACCUUGCGCUAAUAGAUGAGCCUAAGUCGGAUUAGCUAGUUGGUGGGGUAAAGGCCUACCAAGGCGACGAUCUGUAGCGGGUCUGAGAGGAUGAUCCGCCACACUGGGACUGAGACACGGCCCAGACUCCUACGGGAGGCAGCAGUGGGGAAUAUUGGACAAUGGGGGGAACCCUGAUCCAGCCAUGCCGCGUGUGUGAAGAAGGCCUUUUGGUUGUAAAGCACUUUAAGCGAGGAGGAGGCUUACCUGGUUAAUACCUGGGAUAAGUGGACGUUACUCGCAGAAUAAGCACCGGCUAACUCUGUGCCAGCAGCCGCGGUAAUACAGAGGGUGCAAGCGUUAAUCGGAUUUACUGGGCGUAAAGCGCGCGUAGGUGGCUAAUUAAGUCAAAUGUGAAAUCCCCGAGCUUAACUUGGGAAUUGCAUUCGAUACUGGUUAGCUAGAGUAUGGGAGAGGAUGGUAGAAUUCCAGGUGUAGCGGUGAAAUGCGUAGAGAUCUGGAGGAAUACCGAUGGCGAAGGCAGCCAUCUGGCCUAAUACUGACACUGAGGUGCGAAAGCAUGGGGAGCAAACAGGAUUAGAUACCCUGGUAGUCCAUGCCGUAAACGAUGUCUACUAGCCGUUGGGGCCCUUGAGGCUUUAGUGGCGCAGCUAACGCGAUAAGUAGACCGCCUGGGGAGUACGGUCGCAAGACUAAAACUCAAAUGAAUUGACGGGGGCCCGCACAAGCGGUGGAGCAUGUGGUUUAAUUCGAUGCAACGCGAAGAACCUUACCUGGCCUUGACAUACAGAGAACUUUCCAGAGAUGGAUUGGUGCCUUCGGGAACUCUGAUACAGGUGCUGCAUGGCUGUCGUCAGCUCGUGUCGUGAGAUGUUGGGUUAAGUCCCGCAACGAGCGCAACCCUUUUCCUUAUUUGCCAGCACUUCGGGUGGGAACUUUAAGGAUACUGCCAGUGACAAACUGGAGGAAGGCGGGGACGACGUCAAGUCAUCAUGGCCCUUACGGCCAGGGCUACACACGUGCUACAAUGGUCGGUACAAAGGGUUGCUACUGCGCGAGCAGAUGCUAAUCUCAAAAAGCCGAUCGUAGUCCGGAUCGCAGUCUGCAACUCGACUGCGUGAAGUCGGAAUCGCUAGUAAUCG